AUCCCACCUUGGUAAUUCCCAUUUGAAAUCUGCAUAAUUUCCCAUUUGACCAUCCCCUAACCACCCACACAGACCUCGAGAGUUCGCAUUUGAGAAUCCCUAACUGACCCUUGCUCUUCUCCCAGGGGCCCUCUGGCCUCCCAGGGCUGAAGGGAGACCCUGGCCCCAAGGGGGAAAAGGGCCACAUUGGAUUGAUCGGUCUCAUUGGCCCCCCGGGAGAAGCUGGUGAGAAAGGAGAUCAGGGGUUGCCAGGCGUGCAGGGACCCCCUGGUCCCAAGGGAGACCCUGGUCCCCCUGGUCCCAUUGGCUCUCUGGGCCACCCUGGGCCCCCAGGUGUGGCGGUGAGUAUGCAGGGAAUCUUUUGUGGGAUGAGGUCACUGCGGUGGUCCAGGCCAGGACCUCAGCUCUCCCUGUCUGUACCCUACAGGGCCCUCUAGGACAGAAAGGCUCAAAGGGGUCUCCGGUGAGUACACCCUGCUUCCGUGGGCUUACACAUCCCAGCUCCCCACCCCCUUCACUGCACCAGAACCCUCCACGCCUCUGCCUUCAUUUAUUUAUUUAUUCAUGCAAUCGUGCGUUCGACAAAUAUUUAUUCAACACCUACGGUUGUAUUUCAUCAGAUCCAAAAUGCCAUCAAUUAUAAGAUGUACCAUUAUUUUACAAACUGCUAGGAAAGAAAACAGUUCUGCCAAGUAAACUAUGACUUGCCAAAGAUGUUAAGAAGCUGAUUUCAGAGACAUUAAAACAUGAAAAGAAAAUUUGUGUCUGAUGCCUAAUGCUGAAAACUGCAUGUC
This 794-nucleotide small RNA is filed under the name Pan troglodytes (chimpanzee). RNAcentral describes it as "retained intron". The record is from RNAcentral. Lineage: Eukaryota; Metazoa; Chordata; Mammalia; Primates; Hominidae.